This 490-nucleotide ribosomal RNA is filed under the name uncultured bacterium. Its description in RNAcentral is "partial 16S ribosomal RNA". It matches the Rfam family "Bacterial small subunit ribosomal RNA", at positions 29 to 507 of the family's 1533-position model. The record is from RNAcentral.
AGUGAACGCUGGCGGUAGGCCUAACACAUGCAAGUCGAAUGGCAGCACAGGAGAGCUUGCUCUCUGGGUGGCGAGUGGCGGACGGGUGAGGAAUACAUCGGAAUCUACCUUUUCGUGGGGGAUAACGUAGGGAAACUUACGCUAAUACCGCAUACGACCUACGGGUGAAAGUGGGGGACCGCAAGGCCUCACGCGAUUAGAUGAGCCGAUGUCCGAUUAGCUAGUUGGCGGGGUAAUGGCCCACCAAGGCGACGAUCGGUAGCUGGUCUGAGAGGAUGAUCAGCCACACUGGAACUGAGACACGGUCCAGACUCCUACGGGAGGCAGCAGUGGGGAAUAUUGGACAAUGGGCGCAAGCCUGAUCCAGCCAUACCGCGUGGGUGAAGAAGGCCUUCGGGUUGUAAAGCCCUUUUGUUGGGAAAGAAAUCCUGUCGAUUAAUACUCGGUGGGGAUGACGGUACCCAAAGAAUAAGCACCGGCUAACUUCGUG